UCUGGAAUGGUUCAGUCAGUAGAGCAUGAGACACUUACUCUCAGGGCCGUCGGUUCAAGCCCCACAUUUGGCAAAA
Molecule: non-coding RNA, 76 nt
Organism: Podarcis lilfordi (Lilford's wall lizard)
Lineage: Eukaryota; Metazoa; Chordata; Lepidosauria; Squamata; Lacertidae
Source: the annotation of a GenBank genome assembly